AGUGAACGCUGGCGGUAGGCCUAACACAUGCAAGUCGAACGGCAGCACAGUAAGAGCUUGCUCUUACGGGUGGCGAGUGGCGGACGGGUGAGGAAUACAUCGGAAUCUACUUUUUCGUGGGGGAUAACGUAGGGAAAAUUACGCUAAUACCGCAUAUGACCUACGGGUGAAAGCAGGGGAUCUUCGGAACUUGUGCGAUUGAAUGAGCCGCUGUCGGAUUAGCUAGUUGGCGGGGUAAAGGCCCACCAAGGCGACGAUCCGUAGCUGGUGGGAGAGGAUGGACGGCCACACUGGAACUGAGACACGAUCCAGACUCCGACGGGAGGCAGCAGUGGGGAAUAUUGGACAAUGGGCGCAAGCCUGAUCCAGCCAUACCGCGUGGGUGAAGAAGGCCUUCGGGUUGUAAAGCCCUUUUGUUGGGAAAGAAAAGCAGCAGGUUAAUACCCCGCUGUUCUGACGGUACCCAAAGAAUAAGCACCGGCUAACUUCGUG
Molecule: ribosomal RNA, 492 nt
Filed under: uncultured bacterium
Lineage: Bacteria
Description: partial 16S ribosomal RNA
Rfam family: Bacterial small subunit ribosomal RNA
Source: RNAcentral